GGAGGUUCCCAGGCUAGGGGUCGAAUCAGAGCUGUCGCUGCUGGCCUUUGCCAGAGCCACAGCAAAAGGGAUCCGAGCCGCGUCUGCGGCCUACACCACAGAUCAUCGCAACGCCAGAUCCUUAACUCACUGAGCGAGGCCAGGCAUCGAUCCCGCAACCUCAUUGUUCCUAGUCGGAUUCAUUAACCACUGAGCCACAACAGGAACUCCUGAUUCAUAUUUUUCAUUCAGUAAUUCUUGAGUGACUUUAUGUGUCAGCUAUGCAACCCCACCUGAAUCUAUUUAAUUCAUUUGCACUGUUUUCAUUUCUACAUUUUAAGAAAUACUGAAUUGUUUCUAAAGAUGUAGAGACCAUGAAUGAAGGAAGGAACCACAUCUCUAUUUGUUUUGAUCAUUUUUACAGUGAGCUUGGUGGGUGCCUAGUAAAUUUCAUGGACUACCUGACUGGUUGGAGGAUGUAGGAAUAAAGUUGAGCCAGACCAGGUUAAAUACAUUGUGGGCAGGAAUUAGCAUUUCUGUUAGAUUGGGUAUUUUAAAGGUCCUUUGGUGAAUGAUGGUGACUAGUACAUAUCCAUGGUUCUGCCUGCACAGUGGCUUUAAAUAUUCUAUAAGAAUUAGAUGAGCUUACUAAAAUAAAAAGAAACCUUUCUGCAGAAGAUUGUUUUUAUUUUUAUUUAUUUAUUUUGACUUUUUAGGGCUGCACCUGUGACAUAAGGAGGUUUCCAGGCUAGGGGUCAAAUCUGAGCUACACCUGCCAGCCUAUGCCAUAGCCACAGCAACACAGCAUCUGAGCCGUGUCUGCAACCUACACCACAACUCACGGCAAUGCUGGAUCUUUAACCCACUGUGCAAGGCCAGGGAUCGAACUCGCAACCUCAUGGUUCCUAGUCAGAUUCAUUUCCACUGUGCCACAAUGGGAACUCCAGAAGAUUGUUUUUAUUGUAGAGUCAAUUUCAACCUGGAUAUGAAAUUAAUAAACCAAAGCUACUGCUUAGAAAACCAAGGCAGAGUGAAAACCGUGUCACAUGGUGAUGUUAUCAUCUAUAUUAAAUCUAAGGCUUAUUAUUUCAAUUUUUUCUUUUUUCUUUUUUCUUUUUAGGGCUGCAUUCAUGGCAUAUGGAGGUUCCCAGGCUAGGGGUUUAAUUGGAGCUACAGCUGCUGGCCUAUGCCACAGGCACAGCAACGCCAGAUCCAAGCCACGUCUGUGACCUACACCACAGCUCAUGGCAACACCAGAUCCUUGACCCACUGAAUGAGGCCAGGGAUCAAACCUGUAACCUCAUGGUUCCUAGUCAAAUUUGUUUCUGCUGUACCAUGAUAGGAGUUCCUAUUCUUUCAAUUUUUGACAGUAGAACUCCAUACUAUUUCUUGCAGUCGUCUCCCUUUCUGGUUUUUGGUUUUAUGUUUCAUGCUUUAGGCAUUUCCUAAAACAAUAUCUAAGUCCUGGGGAAACCCCAGGGCUCUACUGAAAGGAAAGGCUAGUCCCCUUACCUUGCAAGGUGUGGGAGAUCCUAAUAGUCUAUAAAGUUGCUCAGCUGGAAAACAAAGGAAGUGAACCAGUGGAAAUCCCUGGCUAAUUAAAUUCAUGGAGACAUUAAUAACACCCCAUGUUGAUACAAGGUAUGUAUCAGCAUUGUGCCUUGGCUCUUGGGGAGAGGUUUUAGCCGUUUUGUCUCUGGUUAAGAAGAGUCAGGCUGUGUCAUACCUACUUGGACUUUUUUUUUUUCUUUUUUUUUUUUUUAGGCUGCCUCUCAGUUUACUGAGUUUCUGGGCCAGGGAACAGAUCUAUGCCACAGUUGUGACCUAUGCUGCGGCAAUGCCGAUUCUUUAACUCACUGCGCCAGGCCAAGGAUCGAACCCACGUCCUGGUGCUGCAGAGAUGCUACUGAUCACAUUGUGCCACAGAGGGAGCUUCUACUUUGACAGUCUUUAUCCUGCCUUCCUCCUUGGCAUGUAUGUGAUCAAGGUCAUUAAUCACUAUAAAGCUUUUGUGCCAUCUUGCCAACCCCCUUCCUGAGGGGACAUGUGUCCUGUCCCCGAUGAUUCUCACUCACUCUCUGCUAUGACUUUUUACUGAGCAUGAUGGAAGGAACAAGAUAGCUGGGUCAGGGAUAAAUAGAGGGAAAGGACUAGGACAAAUAUUGAAGUUGAUGAAAAUACGCUUUCCCCUUUUAUCUUUUGGGGGGCCUCACCCAUGGCACAUGGAGGUUCCCAGGCUAGGGGUCCAAUCAGAGCUGCAGCUACAGCAACGCUAGAGCCGAGCCGUGUCUGUGACCUACACCACAGCUCAAGGCAACAUCAGAUCCCGAACUCACUGAUCAAGGCCAGAUAUCGAACCUGUGUCCUCAUGGAUGCCAAUCAGAUUUGUUUCCCCUGAGCAAUGACCGCAACUCCUGCAUUCCCUUUCUAUUGCUGGCUUCAAAGGAAAAGCUGAACAAAACAGACCCCUGGUCUCAUCUCCUUCAUUUCUGCUGUGUAAGUCUUCUCUGUGCCUUUUUGAAUUGUGGUUCCUUGGUCUCUAUAGGGGAACUGGUUCCAGCACCCUCAUGGAUAAGAAAUCCGAGGAUGUUCAACACAUCCAUGGAACAGUUGGUCCUCCGUGUCUGAAGGUUCCACAUCUGUGGGUUCUGUAUCCAUGAAUACAGGGGCCCACUGUAUCAUCUUCCUUUUUCAAUGGACAGCAGUUGGCUCUGGAAACAAGCAAGCAAUUCAGUUCAGAGGAUUACCUAUGGCCUCACUUUGUGCUACAUGCUGCCUUUGAAAUUUUUGGUUGGUAUUGGCUUUUUUUCAGUAUCUACCUCCCCUUGUGAUGGCUGUGUGACAUAGUGCCUUGUCACAUGAAUCUUGGUUACUCUUUCAGUGGCACCUAUUGAAAGAGCAACAGAAAAGUCUCCAUUACCUCUGAGCUCUUUCCCAGCUAGUAGAUCAUUCUGUUUGGGGGUAGGGGAAGAAUUCGAUGCAGUCUUGUGAUUGAGAAAGACUUGCUUAUUCUUUUGACUCUGGGAGCUGGACAUUUGGUGACUCUGAGGUGAGCUUUGCUAUAUAGUGAAAUGUUCCAGUUAUGGGUGGGGGCCUUCUCUAUUUUUCACCUCUUACUCUCCUUUUGCAUUUUGUUUCUUGCUUUUUGCCAGCAUACUCUUUGUUCAUCGUGGCCUCUGGGAUCCUACCUCUGGUGUCUUUUGGACUCUGUUUCUUGUUUUGUUUCCUGUUGUACUGAGACCCUAAACAUUGGCCUCUUCAUAACAAGGCUUGAGAAUAUAGUUGGCCAGGCGGGAUGAACUGGAGUAAGACUGGGUCUCAGAAACCAGAGGGACCAUGAAACUGGAGAGGUCUCGGCUGUAGGUAGUUGGCAUCAGGCAGGUUUCUGACUGGUAGGAGAUAGAGAUUGGAUGAGUUGGACAUAGAGCUUCUGUAAGGUAGUGAUGACUCAGCUCCAGGGAAUGGAACAAAAUAGUGGGAAUGCAGACCUGGAAAGAAUUGGAUUUGGGAGAAGAACCCAAAGUAGAGACUUGGAUAAAGCAAGUGCAGGGGGAAUAAUUAAGAGGUUCUGAGAUUCUGAAACUGGCAUAUGAAGAAAGGUUUUGUUAUGAAGGACCUGGGAAAAGGUUGGGUAAUUGGGCCAGAGAAGAGGGUCCAUGUGUGCCCGAUAGCUGACUUGAUGCUUAAUUGGGAAAUGACUGAGAAUUCCUGCCUUACACCUAUAGAGCAGUGGACUUUUCUCCUUGAGACUAGUAUUGCUCUCAAUCCAGGGGGCAAGUGAUAGCCAGCCCAGCAGUUGAGUUAUUUGAAUUUUCUGGCUUGGUGAGUGACUCUGAGGUUGACCCAAACCCUGUUUCACUCUAAGACUCACCUGAGUGGGAACCUUGAUGUAUUUUUCACCUCUGCACUGCCAUUUUUCAGUUGUUGAACUAGCAUUCUGUCUGAGCCACCCAUCUCUUUGUGACCUCUAACUUUACACUAUAUGUUCUACUUUUGAAUUUUUAAGUUACCUUCCACCUCCCAAUCCAAGUGGCCGACCUCCUGGGAGGAGGGAUUCAGCCUUUGCUGUCUUGGUAUCAAGCAUAUAUUGACUUAAGCCUAUUUUUCUCCAACUUAGAGUCCUUCUUAAGAGUGACUGAGGUAUAUCAUAGGUUAAGCAACCUUCUUGAAGCAUCAGUGCCUUGCCAUUCCAGACUCAGUGGAGAUGUACAUGGGGCUUAUGUGUUGUAUGACCCAUGAGUAGCAAUCCCUCUGGCUACAUCAUGUGUACAAAGUCCAUAAAUAGUAAUAUUUAUUGUGCACAUUCUAGAAGCCAGGCAAUAUCAUAGGCAUUCCUUUUGAAUACCAUUAACCCCAUUUUACAAAGAGGAAAUGAGAUUUAAGUGCAUAAAGUUGGUGCUUUCAACUGUUAUACUUGGACUAUUCAAUGGGGUGCCGUGCCAGACAAUGUUAGGUCCCGUGGAUAAGCAAAAGUAGGUUAAAGCAUGGAUUUGUGAUACUCACAGGAUUACUGGGAGGGCAGACCUGGUAUGUAUGAAUGGAUGAUAAACAUGAUGUAAGACAUGAUGUGAUGAAGUUCUAAACUGAAUGCAAUUACAUGCUAAAAUGCCUAGUGUGGACACAGUGGUUUUCAUUGUGGUCCCCAGACCAGCAGCAUCACCAUCAUCUGGGACCUCGUUAGAUGUGCCAAGUCUCACACUUCGCCACAGAUCUACUAAAUAAUAAACUCAGGCUGGAACCUGCUACUGUUUUAACAAGCCUUCAAGGUGAUUCUAAUACACUAAAAUGUGGGAACUACUAGUGGACAGUUGUUAAGGGCAUUAGAUUGGUGUCCUAUGUAUGCCAUAACAAUUGACACAAACUGGGGGGCUUAAAACAACAAAUUUCAUCUCUCACAGUUCAAAAGUCCAAAAUCAAGGUGUUGGUACAGUUGGUUCCCUCUGGAGUUUGCGAGGGAGGCACUGGCCUCUUUUUUAGCUUCUGGUGACUCCUGGUAUUCUUGGGGGCAUUCCUUGACUUACAGCUGCAUCAGUCAAAUCUCUGCUUCUGCCCUAAUGUGUCUGCUUCUUUGUCUUUGUAUGUCCUUUCCUCUUCUUAAGAGGACAACAGUCAUUGGAUUUAGGACUCUAUACACUCCAUUAUCACCUUAACUAAUUACAUCUGCACAGAUCCUCUGUACAAAUAGGUCCCAUUUUGAGGUUCCUGGUAGACAAGAAUUUCGGGAACACUCUUCAACUUAACUACAGGCAGUUAAGAUGAAGAUAAUCAGUUUAAGUGAAACUGGAGGAAAGAGCUUUAGGCAUGAUUUGAGUGGUUGAAGUGAGUGAAAUAAUGGGACUGGUGGAGUGAAGGCUAGUGAACAAGCAUAGGAGAAUUUGACUGAUGAAGAUCAUGAUGCUGGGGCAUUGACUAGGUUAGAAUUAAAACAUGGGUAUUGGCCAACAUAUAUAAACAGCUCAUUCAACUCAACAGCAACGAAAAACCUGGUUAAGAAAUGGGCAGAAUUAUUGAACAGGCUAUUUUUCAAAAGAAGAAAAGUAGAUGGCCAGAAAGCACGUGAAAAGAUAAUGAACAUUGCUAAUCACCAAGGAAAUGCAAAUCACAGCUGCAUGAAAUACCAGCUCACAUCUGAUAGAAUGACUGUCAUCAAAAAGAACACAAAUAACAAGUGUUGGCAAAGAUGUGGACAAAAGAGAAACCUUAUAUAUUGUUGAUGGGAACGUAAGGUGGUAGCCACUGUGGAAAACAGCAUGGAGGUUUCUCAAGAAACUGAAAAUAGAACUGCUAUGUAACCCAGUAAUUCCACUCCUGGGUAUAUAUCUGAGGAAAACAAAAACAAAAACAAAAAAA
Molecule: long non-coding RNA, 5829 nt
Filed under: Sus scrofa (pig)
Lineage: Eukaryota; Metazoa; Chordata; Mammalia; Artiodactyla; Suidae
Description: lncRNA (ENSSSCG00015046691.1)
Source: RNAcentral